RNAcentral lists this microRNA precursor (59 nucleotides) under Alligator mississippiensis (American alligator). RNAcentral describes it as "Ami-Mir-10-P3b_pre stem-loop". The record is from RNAcentral. Lineage: Eukaryota; Metazoa; Chordata; Crocodylia; Alligatoridae.
UCCCUGAGACCCUUAUCCUGUGAGGGAGCCCAGAGCUCACAGGUGAGGCCUUGGGAACU